Molecule: ribosomal RNA, 253 nt
Filed under: uncultured bacterium
Lineage: Bacteria
Description: partial 16S ribosomal RNA
Rfam family: Bacterial small subunit ribosomal RNA
Source: RNAcentral
UACGGAGGAUGCAAGCGUUAUCCGGAAUGAUUGGGCGUAAAGCGUCCGUAGGUGGCUGUGUAAGUCUGCUGUCAAAGAGCGAAGCUCAACUUCGUAAAGGCAGUGGAAACUACACGGCUAGAGUGCGUUCGGGGCAGAGGGAAUUCCUGGUGUAGCGGUGAAAUGCGUAGAGAUCAGGAAGAACACCGGUGGCGAAGGCGCUCUGCUAGGCCGCAACUGACACUGAGGGACGAAAGCUAGGGGAGCGAAUGGG